GUGGCGGACGGGUGAGUAAUGUCUGGGAAACUGCCUGAUGGAGGGGGAUAACUACUGGAAACGGUAGCUAAUACCGCAUAACGUCGCAAGACCAAAGAGGGGGACCUUCGGGCCUCUUGCCAUCGGAUGUGCCCAGAUGGGAUUAGCUAGUAGGUGGGGUAACGGCUCACCUAGGCGACGAUCCCUAGCUGGUCUGAGAGGAUGACCAGCCACACUGGAACUGAGACACGGUCCAGACUCCUACGGGAGGCAGCAGUGGGGAAUAUUGCACAAUGGGCGCAAGCCUGAUGCAGCCAUGCCGCGUGUAUGAAGAAGGCCUUCGGGUUGUAAAGUACU
This 336-nucleotide ribosomal RNA is filed under the name Escherichia coli. Its description in RNAcentral is "bacterial SSU rRNA". It matches the Rfam family "Bacterial small subunit ribosomal RNA", at positions 95 to 434 of the family's 1533-position model. Lineage: Bacteria; Pseudomonadati; Pseudomonadota; Gammaproteobacteria; Enterobacterales; Enterobacteriaceae. The record is from RNAcentral.